RNAcentral lists this ribosomal RNA (253 nucleotides) under uncultured bacterium. RNAcentral describes it as "partial 16S ribosomal RNA". It matches the Rfam family "Bacterial small subunit ribosomal RNA", at positions 524 to 776 of the family's 1533-position model. The record is from RNAcentral.
UACGUAGGGGGCAAGCGUUGUCCGGAUUUAUUGGGCGUAAAGCGCGUGUAGGCGGCUAGGUAGGUCCGUUGUGAAAACUCGAGGCUCAACCUCGAGACGCCGAUGGAAACCAUCUGGCUAGAGUCCGGAAGAGGAGAGUGGAAUUCCUGGUGUAGCGGUGAAAUGCGCAGAUAUCAGGAAGAACACCGAUGGCGAAGGCAGGUCUCUGGGCCACUACUGACGCUGAGAAGCGAAAGCAUGGGGAGCGAACAGG